CCAGACUCCUACGGGAGGCAGCAGUGGGGAAUAUUGCACAAUGGGGGAAACUCUGAUGCAGCGACGCCGCGUGAGGGAAGACGGUCUUCGGAUUGUAAACCUCUGUCUUUGGGGAAGAAAAUGACGGUACCCAAAGAGGAAGCUCCGGCUAGCUACGUGCCAGCAGCCGCGGUAAUACGUAGGGAGCGAGCGUUGUCCGGAUUUACUGGGUGUAAAGGGCGUGUAGCCGGGUUGACAAGUCAGAUGUGAAAUCCUGCGGCUUAACCGCAGAACUGCAUUUGAAACUGUUGAUCUUGAGUACUGGAGAGGCAGACGGAAUUCCUAGUGUAGCGGUGAAAUGCGUAGAUAUUAGGAGGAACAUCAGUGGCGAAGGCGACUUUCUGGACUGUAACUGACGCUGAGGCACGAAAGUGUGGGGAGCAAACAGGAUUAGAUACCCCGGUACC
RNAcentral lists this ribosomal RNA (446 nucleotides) under uncultured bacterium. RNAcentral describes it as "bacterial SSU rRNA". It matches the Rfam family "Bacterial small subunit ribosomal RNA", at positions 331 to 794 of the family's 1533-position model. The record is from RNAcentral.